RNAcentral lists this ribosomal RNA (926 nucleotides) under uncultured Bacillota bacterium. Its description in RNAcentral is "bacterial SSU rRNA". It matches the Rfam family "Bacterial small subunit ribosomal RNA", at positions 1 to 909 of the family's 1533-position model. Lineage: Bacteria; Bacillati; Bacillota. The record is from RNAcentral.
GAUCCAGACUUUGAUCCUGGCUCAGGAUUAACGCUGGCGGCGCACAUAAGACAUGCAAGUCGAACGGAAGUCGUUAUAACUCAGAACGAAGAUUUAUCUGAGGGACGAGAUAUAACAAUGGCUUUAGUGGCGGACUGGUGAGUAACACGUAAGAAACCUGCCUAUUAGAGGGGAAUAACAACGAGAAAUCGUUGCUAAUACCGCAUAAGCUAGUAGUACCGCAUGGUACAGCUAGAAAAGGAGAAAUCCGCUAAUAGAUGGUCUUGCGUCCGAUUAGCUAGUUGGUGGGGUAACGGCCUACCAAGGCAACGAUCGGUAGCCGAGCUGAGAGGCUCAACGGCCACAUUGGGACUGAGAUACGGCCCAGACUCCUACGGGAGGCAGCAGUCGGGAAUAUUGCGCAAUGGAGGAAACUCUGACGCAGUGACGCCGCGUAUAGGAAGAAGGUUUUCGGAUUGUAAACUAUUUUAGACAGGGAAGAAAUUGACAGUACCUGUAGAAUAAGCUCCGGCUAACUACGUGCCAGCAGCCGCGGUAAUACGUAGGGAGCAAGCGUUAUCCGGAUUUAUUGGGUGUAAAGGGUGCGUAGACGGGAGAACAAGUUAGUUGUGAAAGCCCUCGGCUUAACUGAGGAACUGCAACUAAAACUAUUUUUCUUGAGUGCAGGAGAGGAAAGCGGAAUUCCUAGUGUAGCGGUGAAAUGCGUAGAUAUUAGGAGGAACACCAGUGGCGAAGGCGGCUUUCUGGACUGUAACUGACGUUGAGGCACGAAAGUGUGGGGAGCAAACAGGAUUAGAUACCCUGGUAGUCCACACCGUAAACGAUGGAUACUAGGUGUAGGAGAUGAUUUCAUCAUCUGUGCCGAAAGCAAACGCAAUAAGUAUCCCACCUGGGGAGUACGGCCGCAAGGUUGCAACUCAAAGGAA